Molecule: ribosomal RNA, 301 nt
Filed under: uncultured bacterium
Lineage: Bacteria
Description: partial 16S ribosomal RNA
Rfam family: Bacterial small subunit ribosomal RNA
Source: RNAcentral
CAGUCGCCGCGGUAAUACGAAGGGUGCAAGCGUUACUCGGAAUUACUGGGCGUAAAGCGCGCGUAGGUGGUGGUUUAAGUCCGUUGUGAAAGCCCUGGGCUCAACCUGGGAAUUGCAGUGGAUACUGGGUCACUAGAGUGUGGUAGAGGAUAGUGGAAUUUCCGGUGUAGCAGUGAAAUGCGUAGAGAUCGGAAGGAAUAUCUGUGGCGAAGGCGACUAUCUGGGCCAACACUGACACUGAGGCACGAAAGCGUGGGGAGCAAACAGGAUUAGAUACCCCAGUAGUCCCUGUCUCUUAUAC